Long non-coding RNA from Cucumis melo (muskmelon), 526 nucleotides. RefSeq lists it as uncharacterized. The record is from RefSeq and is a predicted model, not a curated record. NCBI's taxonomy places the organism in Eukaryota, Viridiplantae, Streptophyta, Magnoliopsida, Cucurbitales, Cucurbitaceae. The transcript is spliced from 4 exons.
UUCUUUCUUUUCUUCUGUAUAUAUGUUGAUUUUAUUUUGAAGAAGUUUUUGUGAUUGUGAGAUUAUGAAGAUGGAGCAAGGAGAAGAAGAAUCAACAUAAGGGAUUUUAAAGUGGUUCGGUUUUAACAAACUUACAUCCACUAUGCAUGGGGGCAAGAUCUUUAUUUUCUGCACUUUGAUCUUCAUAGAUAUGUCACUCCUUUUCGGGUUCCAAAAACCCGAUUGUUUGAAGGCAUUUGAGAAACUUCGUUCGAGUGACUACCUUUGUCAACAUAUCAGUUGCAUUCUCACUGCAGGCUCUGAUACCAAUUUGUAGCAGCUGACACGUGUAUGAUCAAAUAUUGGCCACGUUUUGAAUGUAAAUUGAAGUUUUUAUGAUUGUGAGAUUAUGAAGAUGAAGAUGAAGCAAGGAGAAGAAGAAUCAACACAAGAGAUUUUAAAGUGGUUUGGUUUUAACAAACCUACAUCCACUAUGCAUGGGAGCAAGAUCUUUAUUUUUUGCACUUUGAUCUUCAUAGAUACAAGG